This 468-nucleotide ribosomal RNA is filed under the name uncultured bacterium. RNAcentral describes it as "partial 16S ribosomal RNA". It matches the Rfam family "Bacterial small subunit ribosomal RNA", at positions 28 to 507 of the family's 1533-position model. The record is from RNAcentral.
GACGAACGCUGGCGGCGUGCUUAAUACAUGCAAGUCGAACGGAAAGGCCCUGCGCUUGCGGGGUGCUCGAGAGGCGAACGGGUGAGUAACACGUGAGUAACCUGUCCCUGACUGUGGGAUAACUUUUGGAAACUGGGGCUAAUACAGGGUAGGAGCUCUUGCUGCACGGUGGGGGUUGGAAAGAUUCGGCGGUUGGGGAUGGACUCGAAGCUUAUCGGCUUGUUUGUCGAGUAGUGGCUUACCAAGGCUUUGACGGGUAGGCGGCCUGAGAGGGUGGACGGCCACAAGAGUACUAAGGGACGGCCCAGACGCCUACGGGAGGCAGCGGUGGAGAGUAUUGCACAGUGGGCGGGAGCCUGAUACAGCGGCGCCGCGUGCGGAAUGACGGCCUUCGAGUUGUAAACCGCUUUCGCCUGUGACGAGGAGUGAGUGACGGUAAUGGGUAAGAAAGCACCGGCUAACUACGUG